RNAcentral lists this long non-coding RNA (327 nucleotides) under Homo sapiens (human). RNAcentral describes it as "non-protein coding lnc-NUDT2-6:1". The record is from RNAcentral. Lineage: Eukaryota; Metazoa; Chordata; Mammalia; Primates; Hominidae.
AUGUCUGGAAGGCUGUGGUCCAAGGCCAUUUUUUGUUGGCUGUAAGUGUGGUCUCCAGAAUCAAAGAGAGCACACAACUGUUUUUAAAUCGAAGGUGUUUAUGCCUGAGAUGAAGCUGAAUUCUGUUUGGGCAAGAGAUUUGUGCUUAUGUAUACAAAGCAAAGAACAACACAGUGACUCCUGGUGGCAAACCAAACAAAACCAGAGUAAUCUGUGGAAAGAUAAUUUGCGCCCAUGGAAACAGACAUGCCAAAUUCCAAAGGAAUCUUCCUGCUGAGGCCGUUUGGACACAGAAUUCACGUGAUGUUGUACCCCUCAAGGAUUUAA